Molecule: ribosomal RNA, 908 nt
Filed under: uncultured bacterium
Lineage: Bacteria
Description: bacterial SSU rRNA
Rfam family: Bacterial small subunit ribosomal RNA
Source: RNAcentral
GCUUAGAGUUUGAUCCUGGCUCAGGAUGAACGCUGGCGGUAUGCUUAACACAUGCAAGUCGAACGGAGUACUUCGGUACUUAGUGGCGGACGGGUGAGUAACGCGUGAGAAUCUGCCUUCAGGAUGGGGAUAACAGUGGGAAACCAUUGCUAAUACCCAAUGAGCCGAGAGGUAAAAAAUUUAUUGCCUGAAGAGGAGCUCGCGUCCGAUUAGUUAGUUGGUGGGGUAAAGGCUUACCAAGACGGCGAUCGGUAGCUGGUCUGAGAGGAUGAGCAGCCACACUGGGACUGAGACACGGCCCAGACUCCUACGGGAGGCAGCAGUGGGGAAUUUUCCGCAAUGGGCGCAAGCCUGACGGAGCAAUACCGCGUGAGGGAGGAAGGCCUUUGGGUUGUAAACCUCUUUUCUUAAGGAAGAAGAUCUGACGGUACUUAAGGAAUCAGCAUCGGCUAACUCCAUGCCAGCAGCCGCGGUAAUACGGAGGAUGCAAGCGUUAUCCGGAAUUAUUGGGCGUAAAGCGUCCGCAGGCGGCACUAUAAGUCUGCUGUCAAAGACCGCAGCUCAACUGCGGAAAGGCAGUGGAAACUGUAGAGCUAGAGUACGGUAGGGGUAGAGGGAAUUCCCAGUGUAGCGGUGAAAUGCGUAGAGAUUGGGAAGAACACCAGUGGCGAAAGCGCUCUACUGGGCCGUAACUGACGCUCAGGGACGAAAGCUAGGGGAGCGAAAGGGAUUAGAUACCCCUGUAGUCCUAGCUGUAAACGAUGGAUACUAGGCGUAGCUUGUAUCGACCCGAGCUGUGCCGAAGCUAACGCGUUAAGUAUCCCGCCUGGGGAGUACGCACGCAAGUGUGAAACUCAAAGGAAUUGACGGGGGCCCGCACAAGCGGUGGAGUAUGUGGUUUAAUUCGA